This 462-nucleotide ribosomal RNA is filed under the name uncultured bacterium. RNAcentral's name for it is "partial 16S ribosomal RNA". It matches the Rfam family "Bacterial small subunit ribosomal RNA", at positions 28 to 506 of the family's 1533-position model. The record is from RNAcentral.
GAUGAACGCUGACAGAAUGCUUAACACAUGCAAGUCUUUGGCGAAUCUGUGCUUGCACAGGCUAGCCAAGGCGGACGGGUGAGUAACGCGUAAAGAACUUGCCCUGCAGACAGGGAUAACAGACGGAAACGACUGAUAACACCUGAUACAGUUGCCGGCACGCAUGUGCCUGGCAAUGAAAAGAGAUGCUGCAGGAGAGCUUUGCGUCCUAUUAGCUUGUUGGUGAGGUGACGGCUCACCAAGGCGAUGAUAGGUAGCCGGCCUGAGAGGGUGAACGGCCACAAGGGGACUGAGAUACGGCCCUUACUCCUACGGGAGGCAGCAGUGGGGAAUAUUGGACAAUGGGGGCAACCCUGAUCCAGCAAUUCUGUGUGCACGAAGAAGGUUUUCGGAUUGUAAAGUGCUUUCAGCAGGGAAGAAGAAAGUGACGGUACCGGCAGAAGAAGCGACGGCUAAAUACGU